UACGGGGGGAGCAAGCGUUGUUCGGAUUUACUGGGCGUAAAGGGCGCGUAGGCGGCCUGUGCAAGUCAGUUGUGAAAUCUCCGAGCUUAACUCGGAACGGUCAACUGAUACUGCUCGGCUAGAGUGCGGAAGGGGCAACUGGAAUUCUUGGUGUAGCGGUGAAAUGCGUAGAUAUCAAGAGGAACACCUGCGGCGAAGGCGGGUUGCUGGGCCGACACUGACGCUGAUGCGCGAAAGCUAGGGGAGCGAACGGG
RNAcentral lists this ribosomal RNA (254 nucleotides) under uncultured bacterium. Its description in RNAcentral is "partial 16S ribosomal RNA". It matches the Rfam family "Bacterial small subunit ribosomal RNA", at positions 524 to 776 of the family's 1533-position model. The record is from RNAcentral.